CACGACUUAUUUAAUUUGCAUUAUCAAAAAAAAAAAAAAAAAGUACAAAAUGGAUUUGCUUAGCGAAACAAAACCGAAUUAUGUAGUGUGAAGGCACAUUUACACCAAGAUUAUCUUGUAUGUGUCUCAACUCUGAAACUAGUUUAGCCACCACCUUAGGGCACUUGCUGGAGCCAAAUCAGCCAGUUUCGUGACUUCACUAAUUUUCUCCGUUGCAGAGAGCUAACCUUCGCCAUUUAGGUGCCCUUGAAGAACGGUCUUGGACCUAGGAAAAUACUUUAUAGAACAGUGUAAACUAGAAACAUUUAUCUUUACAUGGAGGGGCAUGUUACAAGUUACUUUUUCACAUUUUACCGAUAAGGGAAUUUCACGUUAGUCAUGAAAGAGUUAAAAAGCUCGUCGACAUUAAAUUAAAUAAAAUUAAGUAGUACAAAAGUGGUCAUUGAAUACUUGAAACAUCGACAAAUUUUACAUGGGAUUUAUAAUUUGCCGAUGAAGUUAGAAAUCUAGGAUUUUUAAAAAGAAUCACGCUUCUAUUGCACCCAAAACUUUUUAAGGCAUACAACAUUACUAUAACAUACGAAACAGACUCUUCGAGUAGUAAUUGAACCCCUUAAUGCCCUUGAUACAAACUCAUAAUCAUCAGAAAAUUCCUUAGAUGUUCAACACUUCCCUUAAAUGAGUAGGUUGAAUACUAAAAGAUUGAAAAAUAGACAAAUGAAGUACCAACUAUAUUGAAGUAAUUAGUAAAAGGGAGCUCCCUUCAGUCCAAGCAUAGAGAAGAAUAGGAUGAAAUUUAUCUCCUGCAUCAUUCACACAUUCACAGUAGUAAAAAGCCAUCUCCCUUCUACUGCAUUUGAAUGAAUGAGUCAGCAGAUAAUUCGAUCCCUUCAACUAUCCAUGAGUGGACUGAAGGAAGCUCUUUUAAACUAGUAUUCAAAGUACAAGUUAUUAAAGAAUCAAAAAGCUAGAACUAUCUAAUCUUAAUUUUUUGCUCCAUUCAGAUAUGAACAAGUUAAAAAAACCAGCAAAAUUAAAGUGCUUUCACUAGUAGAUCUGUCAAGUCGAAGAUCUUUUUGUCACGCUAUGUUGCAGGGUUGCUUCUCAAAUAAACUAUUGUUGAAUUAACCUUUUGUGAGGUCAACUAACAGGAUUUUUAAGCCAUAAUAUCAGCUGAAAUUCUGCAUUACCCUGAGGCAAGAGCAUAUUGUAAAACUAUAUAUUUUUUAUUCAUGCAAAAAAUACAGAAAUUGGGUCAUCCAUAUUAAAAGCAUCCGGGUGGAGAAGGCAAAAAAAAAUUUAGUUCUGCUGAGGCACUCCUCUAUAAUAACAACAUAAUAAACCCUAAAGCGACUAAUAUAUAUGUCCACCUUCAAAUUAUAUUUAAAUUCUAAUUAAAAAAUCUAAACUAGCAAGGAAUUGAGUUUUUCAAGAUGGAAAAAUUCCAGCAUCAGCAUGAAUACUAACCCUAACCCUGGAAAAGAUACCACAACAAUAGGAACAAAACCACUUGCCUGGGAGAUCUUAAAUUACCAAAUAACAAGGCAAAAGCAUCGGUAAUUGUUAAAGAAUAUAAUCCCGCAUUAGUUAAAUAUAAAAAUAAUAAACAAUAUAUUAGGGUUUGGAUUACUCUCGUUAAACCCAAUUUAAAAUACCGUAUCAAAGACCACAAUGUUCAAAUGUGGGAUGAAUAGGUCUAAAGCUUAAACUAAUUACCAGCAAAGCAUAGAAGUUGGUUGAUCUUUUAAGAUGGAACCAAGUAUCAGUAAUGACUACUUUUGAGUUCUGACUUUCUCUUGCAAUAUAUAUUUGGUUGAUUUAUAAGCAUUUAAACUUUCGCCUAUUACCAGCUGAUUUUAAAAGUUAGUUCUUUAUAAUUGUGUUUGUAAACUUACAUCUUGGCCUUUUUACAAGUGACAUGGAUCACAGGGAGCAAAACCAUUUUCCUUAGACAUGCAUAUCCAUUUCAUAUUAAUUAUAUGUCGCCUGCAUUGCCAUUGGAUAAAAAAAAUAUCCGAACCCUGUAGGCUCCUUUAGAAUUAAAAGCGAUGACAUGUAAUGAAAUCUAACACAAAAUAAGGAACCAUAAAAAAUAUAAUCACAUACCAAUUAUAAGAAAAGUGGAAAAAUACUCAACUUACUGAUGUUAAACGGUGUAACAGAUCGAUGCCAGUAACUUCCUUUCGUCUAAAACACAAAAAAGGGGAAAAUGAAAUCUCGACAAAGAAGAGUUCAAGAAAAUGUGAGAGAGAGAGAGAGAGAGAGAGCGUGAAUGAAGUAUAAUGAGAAAUUCAUCCCUCCCCAACAGCCACAAAACAGUCAUAGAGAGAAGAAAGUAAUAGAAAGUGAAAAAGAGAAAAGCAGAAAGCAGAAAAAAGCUGUAUU
RNAcentral lists this long non-coding RNA (2385 nucleotides) under Olea europaea subsp. europaea. The stretch from base 743 to 936 matches the Rfam family "MIR159 microRNA precursor family". Lineage: Eukaryota; Viridiplantae; Streptophyta; Magnoliopsida; Lamiales; Oleaceae. The record is from RNAcentral.